GACGAACGCUGGCGGCGUGCUUAACACAUGCAAGUCGAACGGAAAGGCCCUGCUUUUGUGGGGUGCUCGAGUGGCGAACGGGUGAGUAACACGUGAGUAACCUGCCCUUGACUUUGGGAUAACUUCAGGAAACUGGGGCUAAUACCGGAUAGGAGCUCCUGCUGCAUGGUGGGGGUUGGAAAGUUUCGGCGGUUGGGGAUGGACUCGCGGCUUAUCAGCUUGUUGGUGGGGUAGUGGCUUACCAAGGCUUUGACGGGUAGCCGGCCUGAGAGGGUGACCGGCCACAUUGGGACUGAGAUACGGACCAGAAGCCUACGGGAGGCAGCAGUGGGGAAUAUUGCGCAAUGGGCGGAAGCCUGAUGCAGCAACGCCGCGUGCGGGAUGACGGCCUUCGGGUUGUAAACCGCUGUCGCCUGUGACGAAGCGUGAGUGACGGUAAUGGGUAAAGAAGCACCGGCUAACUACGUG
Molecule: ribosomal RNA, 468 nt
Filed under: uncultured bacterium
Lineage: Bacteria
Description: partial 16S ribosomal RNA
Rfam family: Bacterial small subunit ribosomal RNA
Source: RNAcentral